RNAcentral lists this ribosomal RNA (539 nucleotides) under uncultured bacterium. RNAcentral's name for it is "partial 16S ribosomal RNA". It matches the Rfam family "Bacterial small subunit ribosomal RNA", at positions 355 to 885 of the family's 1533-position model. The record is from RNAcentral.
UAGGGAAUCUUCCACAAUGGACGCAAGUCUGAUGGAGCAACGCCGCGUGAGUGAAGAAGGUCUUCGGAUCGUAAAGCUCUGUUGUUGGUGAAGAAGGAUAGAGGCAGUAACUGGUCUUUAUUUGACGGUAAUCAACCAGAAAGUCACGGCUAACUACGUGCCAGCAGCCGCGGUAAUACGUAGGUGGCAAGCGUUGUCCGGAUUUAUUGGGCGUAAAGCGAGCGCAGGCGGAAUGAUAAGUCUGAUGUGAAAGCCCACGGCUCAACCGUGGAACUGCAUCGGAAACUGUCAUUCUUGAGUGCAGAAGAGGAGAGUGGAACUCCAUGUGUAGCGGUGGAAUGCGUAGAUAUAUGGAAGAACACCAGUGGCGAAGGCGGCUCUCUGGUCUGCAACUGACGCUGAGGCUCGAAAGCAUGGGUAGCGAACAGGAUUAGAUACCCUGGUAGUCCAUGCCGUAAACGAUGAGCGCUAGGUGUUGGGGACUUUCCGGUCCUCAGUGCCGCAGCAAACGCAUUAAGCGCUCCGCCUGGGGAGUACGA